Molecule: long non-coding RNA, 656 nt
Filed under: Parus major (Great Tit)
Lineage: Eukaryota; Metazoa; Chordata; Aves; Passeriformes; Paridae
Description: lncRNA (ENSPMJG00000009647.1)
Source: RNAcentral
UAGUGAUGUCACUCAAUUGAGAUUCCAGCAGGAUUUUCCCUAGAAAAGUUCUUCACAGUCCCAGCUCGGUGAAGGACCCCGUGAAGAGCACAAAUGUCUCAACUUCCAGCUGACAUGUGCAGAUGUGUCACUGGAAUAACGCCCGGAGACUUUAUUAUGGUGAAGAAAACCAAGUCAGUGGUUCAGAGGUUUCUCACACUGACUCUCGGAUCCAGUCAGAUCAGUCAGUGUGGAUUUGCCAGACCACCAGGAGAUUGUCCUCUUCCCUUUCUCUUCAAAUCAUGGUCACCUACUGGAUCCCUCUCCAUGCUGAACUGUUGAGCCUUCUGCCUCAGGAGAAAUGAGGCACACAAAAAUGAGAGGAAAAAGCAGAUGAGCUGCCAGAGCAGCGCUGUACUCCACCCAUAUGCCUCAAUUAUCUCUCCCAGGCCUCUGCAACACCACACGCCACAUCAGGAGCAGCAGAGGGACUACCAAUGAGUAAUUAAACCUCUUAUUGCUUUGCAUGGCUGAGUAGUUUUCAUAACAGCACUGCACAAAACUUGAGAUUCGCAGAUUUUUAUAUAAGCUCCUCAACAUUUCUACUUGCCUCUCUCUCCUUUUUUAAUUUCAACCGUUAGAAUAAACUUUAUUGUGAACUGCUGGGAAUAAGAGGA